This 462-nucleotide ribosomal RNA is filed under the name uncultured bacterium. RNAcentral's name for it is "partial 16S ribosomal RNA". It matches the Rfam family "Bacterial small subunit ribosomal RNA", at positions 338 to 795 of the family's 1533-position model. The record is from RNAcentral.
CCUACGGGUGGCAGCAGUGAGGAAUAUUGGUCAAUGGACGCAAGUCUGAACCAGCCAAGUAGCGUGCAGGAUGACGGCCCUACGGGUUGUAAACUGCUUUUAGUUGGGAAUAAAAUGGGGCUCGUGAGCCCCGUAUUGUAUGUACCAUCAGAAAAAGGACCGGCUAAUUCCGUGCAAGCAGCCGCGGUAAUACGGAAGGUCCGGGCGUUAUCCGGAUUUAUUGGUUUUAAAGGGAGCGUAGGCCGGCUUUUAAGUCAGGUGUGAAACUCCGGGGCUCAACCGGGGAAUUGCAGUUGAAACUGGAUGCCUUGAGUGCACACAGGGAUGCCGGAAUUCAUGGUGUAGCGGUGAAAUGCUUAGAUAUCAUGAAGAACUCCGAUCGCGAAGGCAGGUGUCCGGGGUGCAACUGACGCUGAGGCUCGAAAGUGCGGGUAUCAAACAGGAUUAGAUACCCUUGUAGUC